This 82-nucleotide non-coding RNA is filed under the name bovine gut metagenome. RNAcentral describes it as "TPP riboswitch (THI element)". It matches the Rfam family "TPP riboswitch aptamer (THI element)", at positions 6 to 97 of the family's 105-position model. From Rfam's summary of the family: Vitamin B(1) in its active form thiamin pyrophosphate (TPP) is an essential coenzyme that is synthesised by coupling of pyrimidine and thiazole moieties in bacteria. The previously detected thiamin-regulatory element, thi box was extended, resulting in a new, highly conserved RNA secondary structure, the THI element, which is widely distributed in eubacteria and also occurs in some archaea. The record is from RNAcentral.
AUUUCACAAGGGGUGCCCACUCGGCUGAGAACAUACCCUAUGAACCUGAUCCGGAUAAUACCGGCGGAGGAAUGAGAAAAUG